This 484-nucleotide ribosomal RNA is filed under the name uncultured bacterium. RNAcentral describes it as "partial 16S ribosomal RNA". It matches the Rfam family "Bacterial small subunit ribosomal RNA", at positions 30 to 507 of the family's 1533-position model. The record is from RNAcentral.
AUUGAACGCUGGCGGCAGGCCUAACACAUGCAAGUCGAGCGGAUGAAGGGAGCUUGCUCCUGGAUUCAGCGGCGGACGGGUGAGUAAUGCCUAGGAAUCUGCCUGGUAGUGGGGGAUAACGUCCGGAAACGGGCGCUAAUACCGCAUACGUCCUGAGGGAGAAAGUGGGGGAUCUUCGGACCUCACGCUAUCAGAUGAGCCUAGGUCGGAUUAGCUAGUUGGUGGGGUAAAGGCCUACCAAGGCGACGAUCCGUAACUGGUCUGAGAGGAUGAUCAGUCACACUGGAACUGAGGCACGGUCCAGACUCCUACGAGAGGCAGCAGUGGGGAAUAUUGGACAAUGGGCGAAAGCCUGAUCCAGCCAUGCCGCGUGUGUGAAGAAGGUCUUCGGAUUGUAAAGCACUUUAAGUUGGGAGGAAGGGCAGUAAGUUAAUACCUUGCUGUUUUGACGUUACCAACAGAAUAAGCACCGGCUAACUUCGUG